AUUAAUGCUGUUGUGUGCUGAGACACACAGGACUCAGAAGAGAGCGGUUAGGCUUCUCCAGUCCCAGCUGAGAAUAUGGUUCCAUUAUCUCCCAGCUGCAUAUACCAUCCAUAAGGGCCUGUUCUGCCUGGUUGAUCAGGGAAGAGGAAGCAGUGGCUGAGAUCUUUGAUUUGCUGUAACAUGUCAAAGAGAAACUGGGACAUUGUACUUUAGAGUUCUAUUAAAGAUCGGAUAUAACUUAAAAGAAGCAGCAUUCUAAUCACUACAUAUUGGACGUGGGUCUCCUUUGACAUCAGAAACUGAAAAUGAGGUUACCAUGGGAACUGCUCGUACUGCAAUCGUUCAUGUUGUGCCUUGCAGAUGAGCAUCUUGCGAAUAGAAUUCCACAAAUGGGUUCUCCAGUUCCAAUCAAAAAUAGAGAAAGAAGAUGAGACAUACCCAUUCUUAUCCAAAAAGGAACUUGUCAUCAUACUUGUUUUCUCGCUCUUUAAUUUUGAAUUUGAAUAUAAUGUUCUGUUCCCUUGUUUAGCUCUUAAUUAAAAUGCAUUCAGUAGAUUAUGUUCUUUGGUUAAUGUAUUUUAAUGUGCGCCUCAGAUAUUGUGCACUUUCUGAAAUUAAGCAAUAGUUUUUCACAGUGAAAGUAGGCUCAUAAUUGCAUUAACUUUCAAAAAGUUUUGGUGUAAAUUAUGAUAAAACAAAACACAAAUAAUUCAUUUAGAUGUUUUUAUUUUAUGUUACUUUUGUUGAUUAACAAUAAAAUGUAGUUUUGCCAUCAUAAAUAAUUUAGACAUACCAAUAGUUAAACAGUCUAUAUCAUAUUAAUUUGACUCUAAAGCAAGGCAGACAUUAUAGCCAUUUAUAAUUGAGUGCUGCUUAAGUUGCUAAUCAAUGAAAGAGGCAACUAAUUAACAAGCUAGCAGUCACCAGCAGAAUAAAACUUGGAAAUUUCCAACUUAAUUAAGCAUCUAAGGUGUCUAAGGAAAAAAAACUUUCAUGGAGAAAAUAUUAUCAUUUUCAAAGUAUUAAAAUUAUGAAAGACUUUGUUACUUAAAAAGGACAAUAUGUAUUUUGCAUUACUAUUUCAUGCGGUUUUGAAAAUUAAAAUAAUUAAGAUAUAUUGAUGUACAUGAGUAUAAAUGGCUUAAACUAUAGGCUAAGUAUGUCCUAAUUUCUCAUUUUUAAUAUAAUCCUACAUGUGAAUAUAUUUAUCUCAUAAAAACUUUCCUGCUGUAGUUUUAUUGUAAUUAAAUGUCUGAUGGUCACUGUGGAUCUAAUAUUCCAAAAAUAAAUGGAUUGCUCACAUGACUUUCAUACUCAGAAAUGCACAUAAUAAAAGCCAGUCUAGAAUUCUAAAGAUGAUGUCAAUGAAACUAAAGCUCAAAAUGAGCUAAAGUUUGCCAAGAAUGGUAUGAUCAAUAAAAAGAACCUUUGAGUUUAAAAUAAAAAUGAAGAAGUGCAUAUGUGCUCCAAUAAACAUUUGUGGAGAACAGGAUGAAGGGACAGCACUAAAGUUUGAGAUUGAUAGAAUAAUAGUCAAGGAAUUUCUGUUUAUUUUGACUGUUAGAAUUUCCAGGGCCAGAUUAAAUGCAUCCCCUCACACUGAGAGAGCUAUUUUCUUUCAGAAAUCAUGGAGAAGAAGUAAAGUGUUAAGUGAUGAGAGAAAAGGGUGGGGAAAGGAAUUAGAUAAUUACAAGUCAGUCUGAGAUUGAUAUCUGGAACAGAUCAACCAUAUACUGUAUUUAUCAGUAAAGACCUUAAAACCAGUGUGUUAAUUAACAGAAUUCAGCAAAAAAGUUUACUAACAUGUUUAGUAGAUUUUUGAGAAUGCUCUAAACAUGACAUAUCUUGAUUUCAGCAAACUAUUUUAUAAAGUAUGCCAGGAUAUUCUGAUUAACAAGUGGUUUAUUUAUGGAGUCUGAUAUGAGAUACAUAACUGGUUCAAAAAUCAUACAUCAAGAGUGUUCAUUGUUUCUCCUUAUUUCAAUACCAGAAUUUUUUAUAUGGACUCCCGCACUGUCCAGUUAGGAGUCUUUUCUUCUUCAUUAUUUUUAUUAAAAAUUGGAAAGCAGAGAUGGAAGGAAUACUUACCAAUUCAAAAUUGAGUGGGGUAGCUUACAGGAUUGUGAUCCAGAUUCAGUGGGGGGGGAGUUAAUUUUCCUAAAAUGAAAAGUAGAUUACUGUACAUCAUUAUUGAAUCAAGGAAUAGGUAUUUCUUUUUCCUAAAAGAGAAUUGCUUUUAGUAUCUUACACAGUGUGGGUGGUAGGAAAAAAAAUGUAAGAAAUAUGAACAUUACAAAUAGAAAUUGCACGUGAUAUUCAACAAUUGUCAGAUUCUUUUUUGAUGCUUUCUUGGCUUUAAAAUAAAAUAAUAAAGUUAAAUUAAAUUAAAUUAAUAACUUGGUAGAAGUUCCUGAAUCCCUAUGUGUUUCUGUAAUUAGCUUCAGUCCAGACUGCUGAGGAGAGAUGACAGGUGGGUGUGAUCAUCUUGCAUCUAUUAGCAACUCUCUUAAAAAGCAACUUCUUUGCUCAACUUUUGUGAUGGAAUUUAUGGAGUUCCAACAAAUAUGUUUCAUAUACUCUUAUCUUUCUAUCUCUUCAUUUCAGCACUGUACAAUACUAAUAUCUAAUACCUUGGAAGUCAAACCAUAAUCAAAAUUACCUUGAUAGAUUAAACAAAGAGGAUUAAAAAUUAUGCAGUUAAAUUUAACAAAGAUAAAUUCAACCUUCUUCACUUAAGAUGGAUACCUAAUUUGCCAAUAGUAUAUACAUAGUGGCAUAUGUAGUAUAUGUGUUACUCAGAACAGAUUAAGGCAUUGAGCAGAAUUUGUAGGAUGCAUGGUCAAGACUGGGCCAACCACCAUUCCUGACCUGCCCAGUUCCAUUCCUAUUACUGUGCUAUCAGAGAAAGUAUAGGAAAAAAUGGAUUUAUGUUAGCAAAGAAAGAAAAAUUGUCAGAAAAUGAUUUUUUUUUUUUUAAGGGGUAGCUUCAAAGCUCAUUUUUUUCUCCUUUGGUUCUAACUGAAGAUAUAACUACAAAUGGAGAUGUAUGUGUCAGUUGAGCAAAGGCAUUGGUUUGUUAAGCAAAUCAGGUAAGAAUGGAAUAUGAAGAAAUGUUUCUUUAUGAUGAAAGAUAGAGGAUUUUUUUUGUACAUGCGGAGCUGUAGUUUAAUAUAUUGGGGAAAGAGGAUUUAAAAUGCACAAAUACAUGUGCACAAGUUCAGGACAAGUCAGUGAUAGCAAUAAACACUGAAUAAUAUUAGCUUCCUUGAGUUCAGAAACUGCCUCCUUUUAUUAUAGUAAUUUAGAGAAAUCCUCCUAUGUUCGUCCCGUAGAUACUGGAGAAUGCCUAUGGUAAGGAACAAUCAUUUUUCUGUGCUAUUCCCAAAUUAUACAACACCUUCUUUCAGGGUGCUGCUGUCUGGCCAGUUGCCUUAUGGAACAGUUUUAUUGUUCAGCAGAGUUCAUUUUAUCUUCUAUACCUGCUUUACCAUAUUCUAUUUGCUGUAUUUUAUUUAUUUGAUAACUAUUUCAAACAGCAAAAUACUAAUUUACAGCAAACAAUUGUCUUUAUUUUGCCUUUGACUCUUCCUGUUAUACAAAGACUGUCAUUCAACCACUUUAGUUUUCUAUUUGAAAUUGCAACAUCUCUGGAAAUGAUGUUUUGAAUAUAAUAUUUUGGAGGAAAAACUAAAGAUAUAUAAAAAUACUUUCAAUAUUCAUUUUGGUACUGUAGUUUGCUAUCACUUUAAUGCAAGUAUUUACUUAAAUAUUUACAUAUAUUAUUAUAAAUAAGUUCUUUUAUUCAAACAAUAUGUUU
Long non-coding RNA from Crotalus tigris (Tiger rattlesnake), 3817 nucleotides. RefSeq lists it as uncharacterized. The record is from RefSeq and is a predicted model, not a curated record. The transcript is spliced from 3 exons. NCBI's taxonomy places the organism in Eukaryota, Metazoa, Chordata, Lepidosauria, Squamata, Viperidae.